RNAcentral lists this long non-coding RNA (402 nucleotides) under Cyanistes caeruleus (blue tit). RNAcentral's name for it is "lncRNA (ENSCCEG00000016542.1)". The record is from RNAcentral. Lineage: Eukaryota; Metazoa; Chordata; Aves; Passeriformes; Paridae.
CUGAGAGAGAGAGAGAGACUUUCCCCCAUCCACCCCCACCCCUUUUUUAUUUUUUUAUUUUUUUUCUCCGAGGCUGCACUUUGGAAGAGAUCAUGUAGAAAGGACAGAAAGUGAGCAGGGAGCGGGGGCUUUUGUCUAUUGUUCUCCUUGUGCUACUUGAGAGAAACUGCAAUCCCAGACUUAACAGAACCUAAAAAUGGUAGGCUACUGCAGAGUUGUUGGACAUGGUCACCUUUUAUUUGGAAUUAGGACCUACAGUACUUAUCAUUUCCUUUUUUCUUUCAUUCCUUCUACAUCCAAAUUGCUUUAUAAGACAAAGAAGUUACCUGAAGAUUCUCUAAAAGGUGGUUGCUGAUUUACUCAGAGCAGUUUCUCUUCAAUAAACUUUUAGUUAAGAAACCA